UCGUAGGUACUGUAUUUUAUCAUGGAUC
Molecule: small RNA, 28 nt
Filed under: Bombyx mori (domestic silkworm)
Lineage: Eukaryota; Metazoa; Arthropoda; Insecta; Lepidoptera; Bombycidae
Description: piRNA piR-bmo-1376151
Source: RNAcentral